UUCCUUGCUGCCAGUGUCCUAGUGUUUUAGCCAACAUCCUCCUUGGCUCUCUAUUUGUGUGAUGUGACCUACAGUACCUUGCUGCCAGCCUGUCAAUGCCAUGACAGUUUUCACCGCCUAUGA
Molecule: long non-coding RNA, 123 nt
Organism: Thalassophryne amazonica
Lineage: Eukaryota; Metazoa; Chordata; Actinopteri; Batrachoidiformes; Batrachoididae
Exons: 2
Source: RefSeq, a predicted model, not a curated record